CACACUGGCCGGCUCCCUAGGGUGACUGAGCAGCUCCCGGCUGCUGCUGACUCACCAGCUGGCGCCCCGCGCUCCUGGGGAGCCACUGAUGUGAGCUCACCUGUGCGGCUCUGGGGCCCCAGCCACAUCCUGGCACUGGCCGGCUCCAGGAGGGAGCUGUGGCCUGGCGGGCACUCUGGUUCCUGGAGGGAACCGGAUGAAAUAAGGCUCCUUGUAUGGGCUUUCCGCUCAGCCUGUGAUUCCGAUUCGGUGUCCUGGGUCCGAGUGCAUGUCUGCUGUAGACACGAGGGCACUUCAGAAAGUCCACGAGAACGGGGCCGGCGCUGUGGCGGAACAGGUAAAGCUGCUGCCUGCAGCACUGGCAUCCCAUAUAAGGGUGCUGGUUCGCUUCUCGGCUGUUCCACUUCCCAUCUAGCUUUCCGCUAUGGCCUGGGAAAACAGCGAAAGAUAGCCCAAGUCCUUGGGCCCCUACACCCACGUGGUGGACCCAGAAGAAGCUUCUGGCUUCUGCCUGGCCCAGCUCCAGCCUUUGCAGCCAUUUGGGGAGUGAACCAGCGGGUGGAAGAUCUCUCUCUCUCUCUUUCUCUCUCUGCCUCUCUGUGACUCUGCCAUUCAAAUAAAUAAAUCUUUUUUUUUUUUGUAAAAAAAGAAAGUACAUGAGAAAAUGGAGUUAAAAGAUAUGUUUAUUGUGGUUCAGGAGUUAUGAAAUUUGAGCAUAAUUUUUUCAUAAUAUGCAUUUUCAUGAACUUUUGGAACACCCUUUGCACUAUGUGCUCAAUUAAUGUGUUGCUAAAACAAUUGCAAGACAAAAUACUAGGGGCAGCAUGGUGGCACAGCAGGUUAAGCCGCUGCCUGAGAUGCCAGCAUCCCACAUCGGAGCCCCAGAGGAAUCCCAGCUGCUCUGCUUCUGAUCCAGCUCCCUGCUAGUGUUCCUGGGAAAGCAGCAGAGGAGCUGCUACUUGGGAACAGAGUUCAGUGGGAACCAUGAAGAGGGAGCACCGACCAUUCCCUGGGCAUCAUCAGGUGUUGACAACUGAAUAAGAGAGCAUCGGGGGGAGAGUCUCUUACAGAUGAUUGGAGGUCACAAGGCCAUUUCGAGGUGGACGCUUGACCCAGCCGUUUAGAUGCCUACAUCCCAUAGAGGAGUGCCUGGUUUCAAUUCCUGGCUCUGGUUUCCAGUUCCAGUUCCCGGUAGGCAGCGCUGAUGAGGAACCACAGUAAGCUGGCUGGGCAGGGGCCUCCCAGGAUGUCUCUCCAGCGCUAUGAGCAUCGGCCUGGCAGGACCAGCUGUUUAAAAUGUGAACACUGGCUUGGAUUUAUGCCUUCCUUCUAAGAACAGCAGCUGGGAGU
Molecule: long non-coding RNA, 1350 nt
Organism: Oryctolagus cuniculus (rabbit)
Lineage: Eukaryota; Metazoa; Chordata; Mammalia; Lagomorpha; Leporidae
Source: RefSeq, a predicted model, not a curated record